UGCCUAGCCCUAAACAGAACAAGUAUUUUACUGAUACUUCCGCCAGGGGACAACGAGCCCCAGCUUAAAACCCAAAGGACUUGGCGGUGCUUUAGACCCCCCUAGAGGAGCCUGUUAUAGAACCGAUAAUCCCCGUUCAACCUCACCUCCUCUUGUUAUUUCCCGCCUGUAUACCGCCGUCGUCAGUUUACCCUGUGAAGGCUUAACAGUAAGCAAAAUUGGUAAAGCCCAAAACGUCAGGUCGAGGUGCAGCUCAUGAGGAGGGAAGAAAUGGGCUACAUUUUCUGACCCAGAAAAUACGAAUGUUGUACUGAAAAAACAUCUUGAAGGAGGAUUUAGUAGUAAGGAGAGAAUAGAGCGCUCUCCUGAAAAAGGCUCUGAAGCGCGCACACACCG
RNAcentral lists this ribosomal RNA (396 nucleotides) under Paragobiodon echinocephalus (redhead goby). RNAcentral describes it as "partial 12S ribosomal RNA". It matches the Rfam family "Bacterial small subunit ribosomal RNA", at positions 830 to 1392 of the family's 1533-position model. The record is from RNAcentral. Lineage: Eukaryota; Metazoa; Chordata; Actinopteri; Gobiiformes; Gobiidae.